AUUGAACGCUGGCGGCAGGCUUAACACAUGCAAGUCGAGCGAGUGGCGGACGGGUGAGUAAUGUCUGGGAAACUGCCUGAUGGAGGGGGAUAACUACUGGAAACGGUAGCUAAUACCGCAUACCAUCGGAUGUGCCCAGAUGGGAUUAGCUAGUAGGUGGGGUAAAGGCUCACCUAGGCGACGAUCCCUAGCUGGUCUGAGAGGAUGACCAGGCAAACUUGAACUUGGACACGGGCCAGACCCCUACGGGAGGCAGCAUGGGGGAAUUUUGGACAAUGGGGGCAAGCCUGAUGGAGCCAUGCCGCGUGGAGGAAGAAGGCCUUCGGGUUUUAAAGUACUUUCAGCGGAGAAGCGGUACCCGCAGAAGAAGCACCGGCUAACUCCGUGCCAGCCGCCGCGGUAAUAC
This 406-nucleotide ribosomal RNA is filed under the name uncultured bacterium. Its description in RNAcentral is "partial 16S ribosomal RNA". It matches the Rfam family "Bacterial small subunit ribosomal RNA", at positions 30 to 526 of the family's 1533-position model. The record is from RNAcentral.